CAGUCGCCACGGGAAUACGAAGGGGGCUAGCGUUGCUCGGAAUUACUGGGCGUAAAGGGCGCGUAGGCGGGCGAUUAGGUCAGAGGUGAAAUCCCAAGGCUCAACCUUGGAACUGCCUUUGAUACUGGUUGUCUUGAGUCCGGGAGAGGUGAGUGGAACUGCGAGUGUAGAGGUGAAAUUCGUAGAUAUUCGCAAGAACACCAGUGGCGAAGGCGGCUCACUGGCCCGGAACUGACGCUGAGGCGCGAAAGCGUGGGGAGCAAACAGGAUUAGAUACCCCCGUAGUCCCUGUCUCUUAUAC
This 301-nucleotide ribosomal RNA is filed under the name uncultured bacterium. RNAcentral describes it as "partial 16S ribosomal RNA". It matches the Rfam family "Bacterial small subunit ribosomal RNA", at positions 509 to 807 of the family's 1533-position model. The record is from RNAcentral.